CGACUAUGCAUAGACCACAGGCUGAUAAAUUUCUCCUUCAUUCUCUUUGAAUGGGGCAAUUCCCACUCAGCUGGCUAUUUUCCCCAAAAUAGUAUAGGAGGGAUAUUUUUGACUGUCUUCCUUAUUAACUCAAAAAGUCCCUUCAGCCUCCUCCCUUAGGAAUUGAGUGAAAAGUUGGAUGUUGGAUGAAGAAUUUAUCUGAGAGGAAAUUUCUGGGGCUUGGGGAAUAUUCGACUGUGGAGUUCUGUUUCUGAGUUUCUCCGUGAACGCAGGAACAUCUUCACUGUUUUUUAGCGUAUGCUUUAUGCUUUCAAGUUUGGGGAACGUCCACGUCUUGGAUUUCAGCACAUAGUCACUUGUCAGUUGCCCACUUUGGUGAGAAGAUGAGUAGCAAUGAAUCAUCUCCUUCUUCUUUUUGGUGGAUAGCUGUAUAAUUUCUCCUGAAUUGGGCCUAUUGCUGAAAAGUCAGCUCACGUCCAUAUAUCAUCUCUCCUGUUUGGAAGCUGGACCAGAGAAGACAAUGGUAAAGAGCCUUGAGAUACUGUCACUACCCUACUCACGGAUGAGGAAAAUAACACUCAAGAGGCCAGAUUCACAACAAUGAGUAUUUCAAGUCUGUGUUGAAUGAUUCACUGUGCUUCACAUUGUUGACAAUGUAUUAGUCCUUCUAAGGGAACCGGCCACCCACAUCACUGACCAAUGAGAGAGAGGGACUGAACUGCUGUGAGUAAUACAACAGAUCUUUGCUCUACCAUCCAACCAAGAUUGAUCGAAUCAAGGAUGGGCACCUAACUCAAGGACAGAAAUUCAUCAACUACUUAGAAACCUUGGGCCUGAAGCAAAAAACAGAAGUGGGGUUUUUAUCAAAAAUUUACACAAUGAAAUUGUUGAAAAGUGCUUAGUUAGUGGUGGGGUCAGAAGCAGAAAGGAUGCCAAGAGCCAAGUUAAGAUGAAGACAAGCUAUUUGCAAGGAGAAGUUAUAAGGACGCAAAAAAUGUAAGUAGAGGACACUAGUCAAUAGAAUUACUGGGUUCACAGAGAGAAGCAGAAAUGCCAUUAUAAAGAGAAAGCAGGUGGCCCCUGGGAGUUAUAAGGAGGGUAACUGGCCCCUGAAGUUGCUAUGAUUUCCAAUGACUGCUAUUUUGGGAUAAUUCACUCUUAUUUUUAUAACUUGGGGUGUUUGAAGGAGAUCACUGUUCCUUGCAACUAAACAAGGUUGAUUAGGACUCUGUACUAUAAGAUGGAACAUUGGACACGGGAAAAACAAAUCACAGUGACAUUAACAAAGAUUUUUUGCAUUAAUGGUGGCUGGAAGCUCCUCCCCCAAUUACCUCUCACAAGGAAUAGAAUUGACAGCAGAGGCUGAAGUGAGCUAAGUACACAGGUGUGAUGAGGGGAAGCAGCCAGGAAAGACAGCCAUGUACAUAACUUGUGAGUUGCAACAACCUUUCAAACACUGCUUCCAGUGGUCCUAUGUGAUGAGAAUUAAUGUUCAAGAACAAGAUUCUACCAGAUCUUUACCUGGGAAAUGUACACCAGACUCUCUAUAAAGCAGAAAAUGAACAUAAAAAUGAUUUAAGCAAACAAGCUUUGGAGGGUAUCAUCCCAUCAGUAAUUCAGAAACACCAAACAUCCUAAAUGUCCACAGAACCCCCAAAUUCUGCUUUUCAAUGGAGUUUUACUGAAUGCACGUUAAGCUUGAAGCUGUGCCAAAAGAACAAACUGAAAUCACUCAGAGGGUGACAUUGUGGAAGGACAGAAGCAGACAUUCCAAAGGGACUCCGAUUCCCAAAGGCAUCGAUGCAUUAGGUUAUUAACCUCAGCUGAAUCAUUCAUAUGCCACAGUCCCUAUUCUAAGUUCUGUAAGGGGAAACCUUUCCGUUACAACUCAAUAUGUCUUUUACUUUUUUCUCCUUUCCAUUUACAGAUACUCACACCAGGGAAGAGUUAGUUGAAAAUGUCCUUGCUCCCCAGGCAUUUGCUAGGGAAAGAGGUGGGGGAGCAUUCGACAGCUGAGUGUUCGGCUAUAACUCAGAGACUGUCUGCGUGAAAUGUGGAUUGGUUACCUUGAGACUGGACCAGUCUCUAAACAGAAUUUCACUACAUUAAAAGAGCAAUGCAUUUGCCUGUGAAAGUCUAGACUAGAAAAUGACUCUCUGUGGCCAUGGCAUCAAAAAUACUAGAGAAAGAAAGGAAUAAAUGCUUUCUGAUGGAUUCAACACCUACAUGGCAAAUUUGCCAAAACCCUUUGUGUAACUUGAUCAUCAAGUUACAAUAAAAUCAGGAAAAGUAAUGAAAGAAAAAGCAUUCUUUUCCCAUAGUUUUUCCUCUAUUUUUCCAUAUAUAUUUUUUCAACAAUAUGUCUUUGCAGGUUCUGUUUUUAUACGUCUCUUUUUUAUGUACAUUUCCUUUAAGUAGUUCUAAGUACUUAAAUAUGUAGAUCCUAAAAUAAAACAAGGUCCGCAAAAUUGCAUUGCCACAUUCUCCACUAGAGUUGAGUUAAAGUUUAAUUAAAGUGAAUUACAAGCUUCCCAGUACUAGUUAUGUUGCUUUUCAUGGCAAAGUUCUUUUGGUACACACCUAAGUUUCAAAUAUACAGAGGUAAAAGCAUUCAGUAACCUGAUUCCAGGGAACAUCUCAUCAGGAAGAGAUCCACGCAGAAUCAUUUUGUCCACAUGAGCAGUGGGGGUAAGAUGGGGAAGUGGCAAUUAUCCUGCUUUAAGGGAAGUUUCAUUCACUAGAAAACAUUCUCCUCAUCAAGGAAUAAUGGAGGAAGGCCCAAAUAUUUCAGUGAUUCAACUUAAGAGGAGAAAACUCCCUUUGGGUGGAGAAAAACUAAGGGCUUUUAAUCCCCAAAUUUAUUUAAAGCUGAGAUAGCACCAGGGCUUAAAGUACACUGGAGUAGGGAAAAUAUGAGAACAUCAUUAGUGGAGAUAAUACUUUAUGAUUACCCUCAUUUUAUGCCCUUCUGACUUCUUCUAUUCUAUUAAGCUCUUUAAGAAGCAUGACAAUGAGGGGGGCAAACCCUCAAUAUCUAGUGGGGGCACACCCUCACUAUCUAGUUAGCACACAAACAAUUGCAGUAAUGGUAAUAAUAAUAACAGUAAGCUUAUUGAUUGAACUGACAGGCACUGAGCUAACUGUUCUACAUUUCAACCAUAUUCAAACCUCAGAAAAGUUCCACAAGAUAAGAAAGAUUACACCCCUUUUAAAGUUUUCAGUCUCAUUAUGACUUUACAUGAGUGUGAAGAGUAUAUGAAAUUGCUCACAUCAUCCCUAAUCUCAAAGAACAUAUAGUAUAAUAAGAAAAAGAUGUAUACAUAUAGGACAAUUAAAAAGUACAAUCAAGAAUAAAAUUCUGACACAUAAGACUUAAUUGGAGGACAAGAAAUAUGAAGAUGCUAUAGCUCUCCAUUAAUUCUUGAGUCUCCCAAACUCCAGCUCAGACUUCUUGGCAAGCGUGGGUCUGCACCCUGAUCAGCAGCACCGACCAACUAACUUAUCUUUUCCACAUCUCAUUAGAGAUAGUUAAUGAAUCGGAAGAUGCCUCUUCAGCAUCUUGUAUCAUUGCUUUCAGCAGCAUACACUAUCUGCAUUUCAUUAUACAUUUAUCAGAUGGUCGGUUUUAUUAUAUAUUAAUGUAUUUGAAGACCUCAAAUUCACCCUUUAAAAGUGAUCAUAUUUUUCCUUGCCAUGAGAUAGAUUAAUCAAAAGAAGAAUUGGUUUUACCUGAUGCUCUGAACGUCUCUUAUUUGGCUUUAAUGUUACUUAAUUGAUGCUCAAACAAAAAUACUUUAUACAUUUCAUUUCAGAGACUUUCAAACAUACAAUCUUGGAAUACUAAGAGCAUUACAGAUUUUCUAGCCCCCAAUUUUUAUUUUAUACAUUUGAAAUUGAUGACAGACUAAUAAAGGUCUAGAUCAUGAACCUAGGUCUCUUAAAUUACUGCUUUGUCCUCAAUUCAAUUCAAUCAAUAUUUUCUCAGAAUCUGUUAUAUGCUGGGCACUGUGCUAAGGGCUGAUAAUAUAGUGGUAAACAAGACACAGUCUAGUGGGAAAUAGAGACAUUUUUGUUAGUGUUUGUAUAUCAUUUAUCUAUACACAUUAUACAUAUUUAAGCUACUGUGUUGAUAAUAAGAUGGCAAUAUAGUCGUAAUAAUAAGGUCUCUCAUUUAAUGCAUGUCUCAGUGUGCCAGAUUCUGUGACAUUGAGUUUCUUAUUUUGCUUAAUUCUUGUAAUAACCAUGCAAAAUAUUUGUGACUGUCCCCAUUUUAUAUGUGAAGAAGUCAGGACUUGGCUCAAGCAAACUGCUCAUCAUCAGACAGCUAAUGGUUGGAAUGGAUGCAUAUCUAAUUCCAGAGUCUUAAUGCUGUCCACUGCAGUAUACUUCUGAGAUCUCUUUCUUAAUGCUAUAUUUCCAAACUUCUCAUGGAUAUUGAUAAAUGAAAAAAUAUACACUAGAUAUACGGUCAAAAUCAAAGACUUUCUUCAGCAAAUUAAAAAUUAUAACAAUAAAUAAAGAUUGCCUUUUGAGAUGUUCUGAUCACUUAGUCAAUUUUUGAAAGUGUAAGUGAUUUUAAAGUUGAGCUGGAGGAGUGAACAUGAAGUGAAUCUCAUGUUUUGCUUAAAGCAAAUACCAUCAUGUUAUGCAAAGAACGAGGACUUUGAAGUCACACAAACUUGGUUUUAAAUCUCAACUUUGUCUUUCUCUCAUUGUAUAGUCUGGGUGAUGCUUCUCAAAAUCUUGUACUGAACAUUUCCUCAUGCAUAAAAAUGUAGGUUAUGCCCCUUAUUCAAGAGGAUUGUGGUGUGAAUUGAAUGAGAUCAGGUAUGUAACGUGCCUAAUGCAAUGGCAGAUGUAGUGGGUAUUUAAUAAAUGCUCAUUCCCUGAAUGGGAUCAAUGCACAAAAUAAGGGACUAUUGAAGAUACUUUGCACUGGAAGGAAUGCUGUCAAAGGUGGUAGGAGAAAUAUCUUCUCAAUAACAAUCUUGUUCCCCAGAAGAACUAUGGGCAUAAGAGGAACAAGGUGUGGUAGAGCUAAAUUCCCUUUUGGAUGAAACCAUUUGCAUCCUUCUAACUAGGAAAGGAAAGGCCUAUUCUCCCUUUUAAAAGUAGCAGAAGAGGAGAUGGAGUAGUUUUAAACGUGACAGAGGAUCUUUCCCAGCAUCCUUGAAAUUAUCUGCCUAUAUGUCUCAUCUCCACCUCAUUCUCCAACAUAAGGCUGGCCUGAUACAGGUGUGGAAACAGCACAGGCUAUAUCCAGGCUACUUGGGGGCUGGAAAGAAGCCACAGCAAUAUCCAUGGUGCAGGAUGUCUUUUUGCAGAGGAUCUUCUCUCUUGGAAGCAAAGGUAAGUCCACAUUAGUAGAACAGAGGGUAGUUAUCUCACUCACUGCUCAUAGGCAAAUCAGCAUCCUCUGCUUCCAGAAUCCCAGCAUAUCUGUACUUCAAACACUUAGGCGGCUACAGAGCUGUUCUUUUACAAGAUGGGCAUUUACACUUAAAAACAAGGAAAGGAGAUAUAUGAAGGAUAAAUUGAGAUUCCCCUGGGUGUUCACACAGCAUCUCCUUACUUCAGGGUUUUCAUUCUCAUGGAAAAUUGGCAACAUUUUCAAGAGUGACCAUUUACCAAGGACGUUUUAUGAGUCAGACAUGUAUUAUUCCUGAUGCGUACAUCAAUCUGCAGAAAUAGACAUUAUUUUAGAUGAGAAAAUUGAAUCUCAAAGAAGGUAAAUAAACUGCUCGAGUAACAAAACUAAUAAAUGAGAGAGCUGAAUUUGGUACUCAAGUCUAUAUGAAGCCUAUGCCUAGUCAACCUAGAUUCCUCAUCAGGCUAGAAGUGAAGAUACUUGAUAGAUUCCACCUCCAGAGCCCAAUACACUUGAAGUGAAUUCUUGCAGAUUAAUUUCAUCACCUGUGAGAACAGUGAAUGCCAGACAAUGGAGAUGAGUUCAGCAGAAGCAAGAAGCUGAACCAUGAGUCCCACUCAUAUUACCGAAUGCUAAAUAUCAAGGCAUUUUUGAAUCACUAUCUAUUCCAGUAAUAACAGAGAUCCUCACAGGCAUAUUAAAACAGAAUUCACAGACACCUCUGAUGGAAUACAAAAGUAAAACUAGAGGUUAGAAGAUGCAUUUUCCAGGUUAAAAAAUGCAUUUGUUUUGAAACACCCUGUUAAUAAAAAUGUCCAUUGUCGCAAGAGUCCCUUCGUAGUCAUACCCAAUAUGACUGAAAGAAGUUUGGAGACCAAAGGCAACAUCUUUAAAUAUUUAAAGAUUAAAAUGAAAAUUAAAAAUAGAUUUCCUUUCAAUGAAAGGUUUUAAAUUGAGCCCGUAAACUAUGUUUGAUUUUUAAAGCUAGCAGGAAUGCAUGUUAAGUAUUAAAGAUGUUUAACGUGAAAGUGUGUAUUCAAUAAAAAAUAAAUGAUUCAUUUUUAUAUAUGGUUUCCAAUUUAUUUUGUUGGACCCAACCUCCCAUUGGAAAUGCAGGAAAACAUCCUUAA
Molecule: long non-coding RNA, 6498 nt
Organism: Equus caballus (horse)
Lineage: Eukaryota; Metazoa; Chordata; Mammalia; Perissodactyla; Equidae
Source: Ensembl